CCUACGGGUGGCAGCAGUGAGGAAUAUUGGUCAAUGGGCGGGAGCCUGAACCAGCCAAGUCGCGUGAGGGAAGACGGUCCUACGGAUUGUAAACCUCUUUUGCCGGGGAGCAACGGGGUCCUUGCGAGGGCCCAAUGAGAGUACCCGGAGAAAAAGCAUCGGCUAACUCCGUGCCAGCAGCCGCGGUAAUACGGAGGAUGCGAGCGUUAUCCGGAUUUAUUGGGUUUAAAGGGUGCGUAGGCGGGUUAUCAAGUCAGCGGUAAAAUCGUGGAGCUCAACUCCAUCCAGCCGUUGAAACUGAUGAUCUUGAGUGGGCGAGAAGUAUGCGGAAUGCGUGGUGUAGCGGUGAAAUGCAUAGAUAUCACGCAGAACUCCGAUUGCGAAGGCAGCAUACCGGCGCCCGACUGACGCUGAAGCACGAAAGCGUGGGUAUCGAACAGGAUUAGAUACCCGGGUAGUC
Molecule: ribosomal RNA, 460 nt
Filed under: uncultured bacterium
Lineage: Bacteria
Description: partial 16S ribosomal RNA
Rfam family: Bacterial small subunit ribosomal RNA
Source: RNAcentral